Molecule: ribosomal RNA, 483 nt
Filed under: uncultured bacterium
Lineage: Bacteria
Description: partial 16S ribosomal RNA
Rfam family: Bacterial small subunit ribosomal RNA
Source: RNAcentral
UUGUACGCUGGCGGCAGGCCUAACACAUGCAAGUCGAGCGGAUGAAGGGAGCUUGCUCCUGGAUUCAGCGGCGGACGGGUGAGUAAUGCCUAGGAAUCUGCCUGGUAGUGGGGGAUAACGUCCGGAAACGGGCGCUGAUACCGCAUACGUCCUGAGGGAGAAAGUGGGGGAUCUUCGGACCUCACGCUAUCAGAUGAGCCUAGGUCGGAUUAGCUAGUUGGUGGGGUAAAGGCCUACCAAGGCGACGAUCCGUAACUGGUCUGAGAGGAUGAUCAGUCACACUGGAACUGAGACACGGUCCAGACUCCUACGGGAGGCAGCAGUGGGGAAUAUUGGACAAUGGGCGAAAGCCUGAUCCAGCCAUGCCGCGUGUGUGAAGAAGGUCUUCGGAUUGUAAAGCACUUUAAGUUGGGAGGAAGGGCAGUAAGUUAAUACCUUGCUGUUUUGACGUUACCAACAGAAUAAGCACCGGCUAACUUCGUG